GAAUGCUGACAUAAGUAACGAUAAAGCGGGUGAAAAGCCCGCUCGCCGGAAGACCAAGGGUUCCUGUCCAACGUUAAUCGGGGCAGGGUGAGUCGACCCCUAAGGCGAGGCCGAAAGGCGUAGUCGAUGGGAAACGGGUUAAUAUUCCCGUACUUGGUGUUACUGCGAAGGGGGGACGGAGAAGGCUAUGUUGGCCGGGCGACGGUUGUCCCGGUUUAAGCGUGUAGGCUGGUUUUCCAGGCAAAUCCGGAAAAUCAAGGCUGAGGCGUGAUGACGAGGCACUACGGUGCUGAAGCAACAAAUGCCCUGCUUCCAGGAAAAGCCUCUAAGCAUCAGGUAACAUCAAAUCGUACCCCAAACCGACACAGGUGGUCAGGUAGAGAAUACCAAGGCGCUUGAGAGAACUCGGGUGAAGGAACUAGGCAAAAUGGUGCCGUAACUUCGGGAGAAGGCACGCUGACACGUAGGUGAAGUGAUUUACUCAUGGAGCUGAAGUCAGUCGAAGAUACCAGCUGGCUGCAACUGUUUAUUAAAAACACAGCACUGUGCAAACACGAAAGUGGACGUAUACGGUGUGACGCCUGCCCGGUGCCGGAAGGUUAAUUGAUGGGGUCAGCGCAAGCGAAGCUCCUGAUCGAAGCCCCGGUAAACGGCGGCCGUAACUAUAACGGUCCUAAGGUAGCGAAAUUCCUUGUCGGGUAAGUUCCGACCUGCACGAAUGGCGUAAUGAUGGCCAGGCUGUCUCCACCCGAGACUCAGUGAAAUUGAACUCGCUGUGAAGAUGCAGUGUACCCGCGGCAAGACGGAAAGACCCCGUGAACCUUUACUAUAGCUUGACACUGAACAUUGAGCCUUGAUGUGUAGGAUAGGUGGGAGGCUUUGAAGUGUGGACGCCAGUCUGCAUGGAGCCGACCUUGAAAUACCACCCUUUAAUGUUUGAUGUUCUAACGUGGACCCGUAAUCCGGGUUGCGGACAGUGUCUGGUGGGUAGUUUGACUGGGGCGGUCUCCUCCUAAAGAGUAACGGAGGAGCACGAAGGUUGGCUAAUCCUGGUCGGACAUCAGGAGGUUAGUGCAAUGGCAUAAGCCAGCUUGACUGCGAGCGUGACGGCGCGAGCAGGUGCGAAAGCAGGUCAUAGUGAUCCGGUGGUUCUGAAUGGAAGGGCCAUCGCUCAACGGAUAAAAGGUACUCCGGGGAUAACAGGCUGAUACCGCCCAAGAGUUCAUAUCGACGGCGGUGUUUGGCACCUCGAUGUCGGCUCAUCACAUCCUGGGGCUGAAGUAGGUCCCAAGGGUAUGGCUGUUCGCCAUUUAAAGUGGUACGCGAGCUGGGUUUAGAACGUCGUGAGACAGUUCGGUCCCUAUCUGCCGUGGGCGCUGGAGAACUGAGGGGGGCUGCUCCUAGUACGAGAGGACCGGAGUGGACGCAUCACUGGUGUUCGGGUUGUCAUGCCAAUGGCACUGCCCGGUAGCUAAAUGCGGAAGAGAUAAGUGCUGAAAGCAUCUAAGCACGAAACUUGCCCCGAGAUGAGUUCUCCCUGAGACUUAGAGUCUCCUGAAGGAACGUUGAAGACGACGACGUUGAUAGGCCGGGUGUGUAAGCGCAGCGAUGCGUUGAGCUAACCGGUACUAAUGAACCGUGAGG
This 1644-nucleotide ribosomal RNA is filed under the name Salmonella enterica subsp. enterica. RNAcentral describes it as "partial 23S ribosomal RNA". It matches the Rfam family "Bacterial large subunit ribosomal RNA", at positions 1292 to 2915 of the family's 2925-position model. The record is from RNAcentral. Lineage: Bacteria; Pseudomonadati; Pseudomonadota; Gammaproteobacteria; Enterobacterales; Enterobacteriaceae.